Molecule: long non-coding RNA, 567 nt
Organism: Triticum dicoccoides
Lineage: Eukaryota; Viridiplantae; Streptophyta; Magnoliopsida; Poales; Poaceae
Exons: 4
Source: RefSeq, a predicted model, not a curated record
GCCGCGGCGAAGUGAGGCUCCAGGAUCCGCGCUCGGGGCGGCCUCGACGCAGGUGCUCGGUGUGCCCGGCCGCCCAAGACUCCGCCUUCCUCACGCUAGUGCGUCUGGAGAGGAGGAGGGGGCGGCACGCACAGCCGUGCCCUGCCGUCGGCGACGACGGCGCGGCCGUGCCCUCCGACGCCGCUCUUCUGCGCGCGUGAGGACACCAACUCCGCUCUCGACGACGACCGCACCAUGGAAUGGAGCCCUUCAAGGAAGACUUUGGGUUGCUUGUAACCCGCCAUGUCACAGAUAGGGUGCCUGUUAGAAAUCUUCUAUGGGGGUAACCAACAAGCGACAAAUAUUCAGUCUUGAGGGCGCAAGUACUGAAGCUAUGAUCCAGCUGUUGAGAAUAACUGAUAAUCAUGGUGUCUUAUGUGUAACUAUUUUCUUCAGAAAUCACCAAGUACUUACUGCAAAGGUUUUCGUGUCACCGACAACUCUGCUUCACUAGUAGAUUGGGGAAGGCGGCCGCUGCCCUCGUCUCCGCAUUGCCACGUCCUACUCCUCUGCUCCACAACAUACAUG